GACGAACGCUGGCGGCGUGCUUAACACAUGCAAGUCGAACGGAAAGGCCCUGCUUUUGUGGGGUGCUCGAGUGGCGAACGGGUGAGUAACACGUGAGUAACCUGCCCUUGACUUUGGGAUAACUUCAGGAAACUGGGGCUAAUACCGGGUAGGAGCUCCUGCUGCAUGUUGGGGGUUGGAAAGUUUCGGCGGUUGGGGAUGGACUCGCGGCUUAUCAGCUUGUUGGUGGGGUAGUGGCUUACCAAGGCUUUGACGGGUAGCCGGCCUGAGAGGGUGACCGGCCACAUUGGGACUGAGAUACGGCCCAGACUCCUACGGGAGGCAGCAGUGGGGAAUAUUGCACAAUGGGCGGAAGCCUGAUGCAGCAACGCCGCGUGCGGGAUGACGGCCUUCGGGUUGUAAACCGCUUUCGCCUGUGACGAAGCGUGAGUGACGGUAAUGGGUAAAGAAGCACCGGCUAACUACGUG
This 468-nucleotide ribosomal RNA is filed under the name uncultured bacterium. Its description in RNAcentral is "partial 16S ribosomal RNA". It matches the Rfam family "Bacterial small subunit ribosomal RNA", at positions 28 to 507 of the family's 1533-position model. The record is from RNAcentral.